AAAACUUUCAACAACGGAUCUCUUGGUUCUGGCAUCGAUGAAGAACGUAGCGAAAUGCGAUAAGUAAUGUGAAUUGCAGAAUUCAGUGAAUCAUCGAAUCUUUGAACGCACAUUGCGCCCGCCAGUAUUCUGGCGGGCAUGCCUGUCCGAGCGUCAUUUCACCCCUCAGGCCCAGCCUGGCGUUGGGG
Molecule: ribosomal RNA, 188 nt
Filed under: Phaeoacremonium fraxinopennsylvanicum
Lineage: Eukaryota; Fungi; Ascomycota; Sordariomycetes; Togniniales; Togniniaceae
Also listed under: 1 other name
Description: 5.8S ribosomal RNA
Rfam family: 5.8S ribosomal RNA (bases 3-156)
About the family: 5.8S ribosomal RNA (5.8S rRNA) is a component of the large subunit of the eukaryotic ribosome. It is transcribed by RNA polymerase I as part of the 45S precursor that also contains 18S and 28S rRNA. Functionally, it is thought that 5.8S rRNA may be involved in ribosome translocation.
Source: RNAcentral